UGGUUUGUCGCGUUGUUCGUGAAAUCUCACGGCUUAACUGUGAGCGUGCGGGCGAUACGGGCAGACUUGAGUACUGCAGGGGAGACUGGAAUUCCUGGUGUAGCGGUGGAAUGCGCAGAUAUCAGGAGGAACACCGGUGGCGAAGGCGGGUCUCUGGGCAGUAACUGACGCUGAGGAGCGAAAGCGUGGGGAGCGAACAGGAUUAGAUACCCUGGUAGUCCACGCCGUAAACGGUGGGUACUAGGUGUGGGUUUCCUUCCUUGGGAUCCGUGCCGUAGCUAACGCAUUAAGUACCCCGCCUGGGGAGUACGGCCGCAAGGCUAAAACUCAAAGAAAUUGACGGGGGCCCGCACAAGCGGCGGAGCAUGUGGAUUAAUUCGAUGCAACGCGAAGAACCUUACCUGGGCUUGACAUGCACAGGACGCCGGCAGAGAUGUCGGUUCCCUUGUGGCCUGUGUGCAGGUGGUGCAUGGCUGUCGUCAGCUCGUGUCGUGAGAUGUUGGGUUAAGUCCCGCAACGAGCGCAACCCUUGUCUCAUGUUGCCAGCGGGUAAUGCCGGGGACUCGUGAGAGACUGCCGGGGUCAACUCGGAGGAAGGUGGGGAUGACGUCAAGUCAUCAUGCCCCUUAUGUCCAGGGCUUCACACAUGCUACAAUGGCCGGUACAAAGGGCUGCGAUGCCGCGAGGUUAAGCGAAUCCUUUUAAAGCCGGUCUCAGUUCGGAUGCGGGGUCUGCAACUCGACCCCGUGAAGUCGGAGU
RNAcentral lists this ribosomal RNA (759 nucleotides) under uncultured bacterium. Its description in RNAcentral is "bacterial SSU rRNA". It matches the Rfam family "Bacterial small subunit ribosomal RNA", at positions 576 to 1332 of the family's 1533-position model. The record is from RNAcentral.